GACGAACGCUGGCGGCGUGCUUAACACAUGCAAGUCGAACGGAAAGGCCCUGCUUUUGUGGGGUGCUCGAGUGGCGAACGGGUGAGUAACACGUGAGUAACCUGCCCUUGACUUUGGGAUAACUUCAGGAAACUGGGGCUAAUACCGGAUAGGAGCUCCUGCUGCAUGGUGGGGGUUGGAAAGUUUCGGCGGUUGGGGAUGGACUCGCGGCUUAUCAGCUUGUUGGUGGGGUAGUGGCUUACCAAGGCUUUGAUGGGUAGCCGGCCUGAGAGGGUGACCGGCCACAUUGGGACUGAGAUACGGCCCAGACUCCUACGGGGGGCAGCAGUGGGGAAUAUUGCACAAUGGGCGGAAGCCUGAUGCAGCAACGCCGCGUGCGGGAUGACGGCCUUCGGGUUGUAAACCGCUUUCGCCUGUGACGAAGCGUGAGUGACGGUAAUGGGUAAAGAAGCACCGGCUAACUACGUG
Molecule: ribosomal RNA, 468 nt
Filed under: uncultured bacterium
Lineage: Bacteria
Description: partial 16S ribosomal RNA
Rfam family: Bacterial small subunit ribosomal RNA
Source: RNAcentral